AGGGUGGUAUACUGCAUAUGAAAAGAAAGAACUGCAGGAUAUUUCCUACUCAGAGAAGCAAUGGAAGAAAUUUACGAACAUUGUAGGUUUGGAAAGUUACAGAAAAAUAUCAAACCAUUAUAUAUUCUAUUAAAUCCAGCUACUCCUCCCCCCCCAUUUUUUUGUUGAAUAGCGUGGAAACACUGGGGGUCUAUGGCAUUGGUAGGCAACCUAGGGCCCGGGGGGCCUGAUCUGGCCCAAUUGCCUUCUAAAUCUGGCCCACAGACGGUCUGGAAUCAGCGUGUUUUUACAUGAGUAGAAUGUGUCCUUUUAUUUAAAAUGCAUCUCUGGGUUAUUUGUGGGGCAUAGGAAUUCGUUAAUUUUUUUUUCCCCCCAAAAUAUAGUCCGGCCCACCACAAGGUCUGAGGGACAGUGGAUCGGCCCCCUGCUGAAAAAGUGCUGAUCCCUGGUCUAUGGCUUCAUCUGUUUGUAGAAUUGGAUGUUGUGGCAUUGACCAGGACAUGUCUCUAUCCAGAUUACUUUGCUUCUGGGAUACCUUUGCUUAGGUCCACCCUUUCCUCCUUUUAAGCUGCACGAAUCUCUAAAAAUUUGUGAACAGAGGAUGGCUCACUAAAAAGAGUAAGUCCCACAUUACCCUAUGUUUCCCAUCAACUUGCCAAGCCAGGUUUUCUGUUGAUCAGCCAGUUGAGCAACCAAGACUGUUAAUUGCCAGUUAGCAGCAGUUGCCAGCAAUCCCAUUUCCCAUUCAUGUUAUCUAUUACAGGCACUGGAAGAACUAAGAGCUGCCAGGGUCCACUUGACUGUUUAAACAAAACAGGGCUCUCAUACAGAAGCAACUAAAACUCACUAAAGCAAAAUACAUGAAACUCUAAUAAAUUUGGAAUUGGUGCAGCAUACCUACCGUAUUUUUCGCUCCAUAAGACACACUUUUUUCCUCCUAAAAAGUAAAGGGAAAUGUCUGUGCGUCUUAUGGAGCGAAUGCGUGGUCCCUGGAGCCGAAUUGCCCAGGGGUAAAAGGCAGAUUGUGCUUUUUUUUUUUUUAUAAAGAGGGAAGGGGGUGUUGAAACAAAGCCGCUGAGCAGCUGAUUGGCAAGCGAUGGGAGGGAGAUAAGGGACUCUAGAGAUAAAGGAGGCUGCCUGGGAGAGGGAGGUAAAAGCACAUGGAUCCUCAGAAUUUUUGCAUUGGGUCACUCCCAAUUCACCAUCAGAUCACAUAGCAUGUCCAUGGCUACAGCUUACACCAAAAAACCCACGCACCCACUGUUUUGUGGGGCUGCAAUGGUGCAAAAACAUAGUUACAAAACACAGAUCCACAUGGAUUCUCAGGAUUUUUGCAUUGGGCUACCCCAAACUCACCGUCAAAUCAUAUAUCAUGUCUGUGGCCACAGCAUGAACCGCAAAAAUCAUACAUCCACUGUUUCGUUCAGAAUAUUUUUUUUCUUGUUUUCCUCCUCUAAAAACUAGGUGCGACUUAUGGCGUGAAAAAUAUCAGCAUGAUAGAAAACCACAUGCUGAGUGUGUUGGCUGGAGGAGAAGAUCUGCAAAACAGAAGCGUUGUGGAGGAGUGCAGCUACGUGUCUCUAAAGAAAUAAGAUUGCCUUGUGUGCAGCAAGUCUACCCAGUUCGAAAGAGAAGAACAAGCUGUUCAUAUCUUUAUUAAAUUUGCUUACUGCCUUUCUACAACUAAUCACCCAAGGUGGCUAACAUGCAAUUAGAAGCGAAAAACUGUAUAUAUAAAAAACAAAAUGUAAAAGAAACAUGGGUCACAACUACUCAUUGAAAACAUGAGCUGAUAAAACCUAUGGUAACACAUUAAAAUAUCAGCCAGCUAAAAGGCUAAAAGUUAGCAGCACCAACAAAUUACUGCCAUGGGCAAAAAGCUUGUCUAAACAGGAAGGUUUUCAUGUGCUGAUGGAAGGAGGCUCAGAGAGAAAGUUAAGUCGGCACUGCUCUGGGGAGAGUUGCAAAGGUACAAUCACCAAGAAGGCCCUCUCUCAUCUCUCCCACGAGCAGGAUAUAGAUGCUAGCAAGACAUAGGAAAGAGUCUUUCCCGAAGAUCUUAAAACCUAGGUUGACAUCCUUGGAAUGGAUGCAUCAAUCCACUCAUUCCAAGUUUUCUUAGAAGUUGCUGCUAAGGCAAAAUAUCCCAUACUAGGAUCACCGCAGUCUUGCUAUACCUGUUUGUACUCUCUUGUAAGCAGCCAGUGACUCCUGGGUUCUAGAUUUGAGUGAAGAGAGAUGGAGCUUCUCCAGCCCUGAGCCUGUCACAAAAGCCAUUUGCCUGGUUGGAAUAAAGCAUGAAAAUUUGCCGCCAGUAGUUUCACCAAAUGGCUGCAACGAAAAACAAGAUCUUUCUCAAAAGUAUCACAACACUUUUCCUAUAGUGCCUGGAAGACCUGCAGGUGUGGUGUGUCUCCGAGCACAACAAUAAAACAUUUCCUUGUUAUCUAAUCUGCCUUAUUUCCCUUCUUUACUCUGUUUACCAUGGCC
Molecule: long non-coding RNA, 2490 nt
Filed under: Podarcis lilfordi (Lilford's wall lizard)
Lineage: Eukaryota; Metazoa; Chordata; Lepidosauria; Squamata; Lacertidae
Source: RNAcentral